UCUAAAAAAAAAAGGGCAACAGGUUUUUACAAGGUUAGCUCUGUUUGAGCCUGAGUCCCACUCUGGGCACCAUACUUCCCGAACCAUCCCAGACUUUUAGGCGGGAAUCCUGCAAAGAAUCCCAGCCCCCAUUGGCAGCUACCAGGAGUGCUGUGUGGAAGCAGAUGAAUUCCUGUUAAAGGCGUUAGUUCAGGCUCUUGGAAGUGGUCUUCGAGGAGGCCUGCACCCCAGCCCUCUUCAUCUUCCCACUCCCAGCUUGCCAUCUCUGUCUAAAGAUUCAACUCAUCCUUUCGCCAUUCUCAGGUUGACUUGAGGUGAUCUGAAGACCCCUAAGCCCCUCUUUCCAAACUGUCUAAGCCACUGUCAGCUCCUCGUGAACUUGGGAACACAGUCGGAACUCUGCCUUUCCCACGGGUCGAGGUGUGACUCGGACUGGGCCAGUGCUGGUGGAAGGUCUGCCUGGAAGACUUCCAUCUUCCUGCUUUAGAAAACGCAGAAGAAAGCCCGUUUACUAAUCUUCAAGCUUCUGGCAAACCUCACCGAUGUGCACAGUCGGCCUCUUAAUGGCAUCCCAGGACCCCUUGGGGCCAGUCUUUCAUCAUCACUCAGCACCCUGUAGAGUGGGUGGAUGCCAGGUGCGUCUUCGAGCAGAGGACUAAGACGAUGACGAUGACGUUGAGAAGAGGUGGGGCAGUGGUCCAAGCUCCGAGGGCAGCUCUGGAGCUAGACCAGAGGAAGGCUUUUCCUCGGCCUCUCCUACAUCGCCACACAGUGAGACAUGACAUGGGGUUUUUUUUAACUUCUCCCUUGGCCUUACUGGUAACCUACACCCUUCCGAAAAGCUAUCUCGGAAAUAUUGGCUAAGUAGAGGUGGAAGCAUCUUCGCUGCCCUGUGCCGUGUGCGCUGUGCAGGACGCCGGGCUGGGAGUGGGCAGGGCCUCACCCUGUCGUGGCGGGACCUCUUCUCACUGCUCCGCCUGCAAACCCUGCCCCAUGGUGCUUGGAACAAAGGAGAGAGCAGACUGGGUAGGCCCUUGGCAUUCUUCACAGGAGCUCUGAGGAGCCCUGAGUUUCUUUAGGAAGAAAGAAAGGGAGGAGAAGUGGAGGGAGGGAUUCUUAAAGUACCAUUCGGAAGACAAAGCAGCAACUUUUGUAUUGUCUUUACAUGGGAAAUUAAUUCAGUUCUUCUUACCGCUAAGUAUGAGCUUGUCAGGGGUGUUUCUGAGCUCAGUGAAUACAGUAUUCUAUUUAAACGCCCAAUUGGUCUAUGAAUAGGUAUCAUUCCCAUUUCACAAAUGGACGCCGAGGCUACCCAUCCGAACUGAGGUUCAAACCCAGGGCAUUCCCUCUCAAAGCCCAGGCUCUCGGAUGCGCCAUCACACGGCUCUCUUCUGCACUUCUGAAUCCUCCCUGGUUCUCCAGGGACAGCAGCGGAGUGACUGGGACCCGCCAUGUGAGCGGGUGGCCAGCACCCUCACUCCUUCACUUGCUACUGGGGAGCCUGCUUGGUCUCGCUCAUCAGCUGAGGUCAUUCCUCUGCGUUGUGAAUGGGGAGACCUCUACUGGCCCAAGGCGGUCACUAUGAACUGCGUGUGAUGCGAGGUUAGUAAUUAGAAGUCACUGCGUGUGUUCCACUUGUGUCUGGAGAAGGAGGGGGACAGCUCAGAGCAGAAGAAGGGAGAAGAGGGGAACAGCUGGCAUCAGACCAUGAGGUUUCCUGGUGUGCGGAGAGCCCCAAGCUUUAGCACAGCUUUCUGGAACCGUGUCCAGAGGAAAUCAGAGUCCAGCCCGGACGGAGCAGUCGGUGGCUUCCCCCUACAUUCCGAGUGUCCGUGGUCCACGCCAUCUACAUGUCCCCGCUCAGUGCGUGGGGUUUUAGAUACGUGGGGGGAGGGGGUGUGUGAAGUUUUGACAUGUGAGACAAGUAGCCAGGUGUCUGUGGGCGGGCUGUUACCCAGUGAGAAGUGUUCUAGAACCCCAGACAGAGACACGUGUGGGAAACUCCCUGACUCCCACUCGGGACCCAACCCGUCUCAUCUCUAGGUCAGACACACAAGGGCAGGUGGGGGUCAGGGGAGGGUAAAGCCUCAUUCAUCCUAAAGUCGCAGCGCCUCGAACCAGCAGGUCUGGGGAGGCCAUGGGUUGCUGUGAAAGUAGGGAGCGGUUACUGCAAAGCCACCUUCUCACUGGUGGAUCUGCAGACUGGUCCGUUUUACAAAGCGACCAUCUUCCCCUCGUAAGUGGACGUUACCAUGAUGCCAGAACAGGCAAGAAUGCUGCAGACCAGAGGACCCGCCUGCAGAGGGGCCAGCAGUGGGAGGCGGCAGACAAAAAGGGAAUCCACAACCUCCCCACUGUGCCGGGCCAGGUUGAAAACCUUUACCGGGGAAGGGGCUGGUGAGAGCGCAUGUCCCCGUGUAAAGGGCAAGUUAUUCGUUGUCAUUGUCCCAGGCCAGUCACGAGGAGGCCUGGUCAUUCGUCUUUGACAGAAUCCCAAGGGGCCCUGACAGCAGGGGGCAAUCAGUGACUGGGGGCAGUUUCAGUUCUGGCCUGGUGGAAUGGCAGGUUUCAGUUCUCUGCGGGGGGCUUAGAGCUUAGCCUGUGAUUGAGGCAGUAGGAGCCAAUGGAGCCAAUCAGGACAGCUCUUAGAUCCCCACGUACUUAGAUCCUGGCGUAGGAGCAGCGAAGGUCUGGGGGUGGCUUUGCAAUGCUUGAGCUGAUAGAAUCUUCUCAGCCAGUCAUAUGGGAGGGCUGCUGGGUCCUCUCCCUAUCCCCGUAGCCUGGUGGCAGUCAAGACUCAGCAAGGGAUGGUUAACUUUCACUAGUGGUAGCACCAGGCGUGAUCUGUGUGAGGGAGCUUAAAGGUCAAGUUCUGCAAGACUCAUUGUGAAGUGGAAGAAGUUAGAGACAGACUUUCCUAACGCUCCUCUGUUAGGGUGGACUCUAACAAUGAGGACAGUUGAGCAAUUUGGUUCUCUGUGUCUCAGUUACAACUAGACCAGUGUGAGCGUGAGCACAGUGUGCAUCCACAGACAAGUACCUUCCCCGUGCGCUUUAGAAA
Molecule: long non-coding RNA, 3061 nt
Organism: Tupaia belangeri chinensis (Chinese tree shrew)
Lineage: Eukaryota; Metazoa; Chordata; Mammalia; Scandentia; Tupaiidae
Exons: 2
Source: RefSeq, a predicted model, not a curated record